Molecule: long non-coding RNA, 1242 nt
Organism: Hippocampus comes (tiger tail seahorse)
Lineage: Eukaryota; Metazoa; Chordata; Actinopteri; Syngnathiformes; Syngnathidae
Exons: 2
Source: RefSeq, a predicted model, not a curated record
GUGUGUGUGUGUGUGUGUGUGUGUGUGUGUGUGUGUGUCUGUCUGUCUGUCUGGCUGCAUGUGUGUUGGUGGCCAACAAACGUGUGUACCAGCCAGAUCCAACAAUUUUAUAGGAAUGUGACGAUGAGGAAGAGUGUGUGUGAGUGUGUGUCUGUGUGUGUGUGUGCGUGUGUGUUUGUGUGUGCCUGCGUGUGCAUAACGUGGAUGUCAAUGUGUAUAUACAUGAAGUGUGUAUGUUUAUGAUAUGUGUGGCGUGUACACUGAUAUGCACACACACAAACACACAUAUCACACUCGUGUGCGUCGCAAUUCUCACACACUUUACGUGGUUGGGUCUCUAGGCUCUCAUGUCAUAGUUGAUAUCAUGCAUACACACUCACCAACACACUACGUACUCACAUGUUAUGUACAUAUACACACUUUGAUGUAUGCGUAUGAGUGAGUGUACAUUAAAGUGUGUAUAUAUGUUUCAGGUCUGUGUAUCAUCACUGGCUAGGCCUGCAGGACCUCCCCCAAGGAAAGGGGCCCCACUAAUGUGAAGCAUCUGAUGGAGACUCAGACACAGAACCGACCUCGGACCGGGCCCACGCCAGAGUGUCAUCUGGAAAACAGAUGUGGUCUUGGCCAUUUCCUGCAUAUCUAAUCUGAUACAGAGUGCCACAUUUUCGUCUAGUUAAUGAAAGGAAAAGUGAUUUACUGACACACGCUGUAGUCCUACUGCGCCUUGGCCCGUUUCCGAUGCUUAUGGACUUACGAUGGCCAAUGAAGUCAGCUCAACUUCACACAAGAGUCAAGACAUGGCGGGCCAGCCAGACCCGACUCAGCUUGGCCACAAAUACGACCAUAAAUAUUAUUCUUGACCUACUCAUUGAACACAAAGUCCACUCUAUCACGAUGACAUCUUCAGUAUUAUUAUGAUUACAUUAUAAUUAAUCAUACAUAAUUACUAUGACUACAUGAUGAGUAUGAAUACACUGAUCUUAUAGGAAUACACUACAAAAAUGUUCCUGUAGAGUGAAAAUAAAUUUGACACACCAGAGUCAUUAACAACCUUGUCAAAUUAAAUGAAUUAAAAAACACCAGAUAUAUAAAACGAGCCUUCAUAAUCAUAAAACAUCAGGCCACUUUCUUCGCGCUUCGACGCUGUGGCCAUGUCCACUGACUGUGUGACAACAAGGCACUCUAAAGCAGCCACGCCAGAGCAAAAUCGAUGUCCAAACAACUGCAGGCACGUAAAAAAAA